This 253-nucleotide ribosomal RNA is filed under the name uncultured bacterium. Its description in RNAcentral is "partial 16S ribosomal RNA". It matches the Rfam family "Bacterial small subunit ribosomal RNA", at positions 524 to 776 of the family's 1533-position model. The record is from RNAcentral.
UACGAAGGUGGCAAGCGUUACUCGGAAUUACUAGGCGUAAAGGGCAGGUAGGUGGUUCGAUAAGUCUGUUGUGAAAGCUCCCGGCUCAACUGGGAGAGGCCAACAGAAACUAUCGGACUUGAGUAUAGGAGAGGUUACUGGAAUUCCCGGUGUAGCGGUGAAAUGCGCAGAGAUCGGGAGGAACACCAAUGGCGAAAGCAGGUAACUGGACUAUUACUGACACUCAACUGCGAAAGCUAGGGGAGCAAACAGG